RNAcentral lists this long non-coding RNA (1865 nucleotides) under Homo sapiens (human). RNAcentral's name for it is "non-protein coding lnc-MLN-3:1". The record is from RNAcentral. Lineage: Eukaryota; Metazoa; Chordata; Mammalia; Primates; Hominidae.
CCACCCUGGCCAGGGAACAGACGCAGCUCAAGUUAGCAUAGUGCAGUGGCCAGCCUGCCGUGGACGGGUGUAAGGGCUGAUCAGAUGAGGGAACAAUUGAUUGUGCCUGACAAGGCCAGGCAAGGCUUCGUGAAGCUGGGCUCUGGCCCAAGUGAGGCCUGGAUAGACAGGUCAGUGCAAAGCUGGAAAGGAGCAGAGCCAGCAACUGUUUUUGAUGUACAGAUGACUGUGCCACUCCCCAGCAGCCCCUUCUUUAUUCUGGGUACCUGGACGUCACCAUGACAACCAAGCCUCCCUCAGCCUGUGGUGUGGGCUGGGGGCCCACUGAGCUCAGGGUGGGGACCCCCAAGAGGUGGUAGCAGCAGACCUGGGGGAGAGGCAGGAGAAGGGAGGGUUAGAGAGGGCAAGCUGGCUCUGCAGGGGUGGUGGGGCUGGGUGGCUGGGGAGGCUGGAAGAGCAACCCUCUGGUGUGGGGCAGGGAAGUAGGACUGAGAAACACCCACGAGAGCAAGCGAGUUAUGGGGCUCUCCUCCCAACCACUCCCCACUUUCAGCACUUGUGUGAUGUCAUUCUAGGAACACCACCAUCACCAGCAUGGAGAGCAGCCGGGACCCCAUGGGCAGGUCCCUAACCUGGUCCUGGUAGUUGGAUUCCACCUCUGGAAGUGAGCAUAUCUCUCUCUCCUUUGCUUCUGCAAGGAAGGCACAGUCCCAAGCCUUUUCCAGCAGUCCCCAAAUUUCACUGACUGCCCCAUCCUGACCUUCCUAGCUGUCCUCUACCCUACUGCAGCUUCCACUGCAUGCGUGUGCAUGCAGUGGUCAGGGCCUCCUGAAGGCAGUUCUGAGGAAUGGCUCUGGACAGAAGAGGGAAGGGUACUACAUGACUCAAUGUGUCCCUGAGCUGUGGCCAGCAGCGGAUUGGGGAGGGGGUCUGGCAUUAGGCAACAGUUGCCUGUAAUUGUUACCAAACUUUUGGAAAACAAGAAACAACAAAGAAAUAAAAGCAGUAGAUAAUUAAGUACAUAAUUGUACACACCACUUGUUAAUUAAGCUUUUACUCCUAAAACCUGACAGAAUCUGCUUACAAGGUGAUAACGUGCAGGAACGUGGCAUAUGGUGAGCCAUCUGCAAUACAAACGCUUUGUCGAUGAAAACUUCCCUGCCCCACAAAAAGAAGGAGAUGCUAAAUGUAGUUUUCCAGAGCAGAGUGAUGUAUCUUCAUUCCGUGCAGAAAAUGAGUUGACGGUACAGUGUGCAGAUGAAAGAAUGUCAGGAAGGGCCACGCGGCACCCUCUGUCCUCGCUGCGGCUCUGCGUGUUUGGUUUGUGGCCCAUGCUAGGGGUUCUGAGAAUCGCUCGGUUGGUGUAUCUGGUGCCCGAGAGCAGUGUCUUAAGAACAAAUGAAAAGCAACACUUCUUGCCUGCGGCCACCCCAGUCUCCGGGCCUCUGAGUCUCUGCCUUGCCUCUGUGACUCUGCUUCUCCCUCCACCUGCUUCUUCCAGGUCUUCUGAAGGAGGAGGCGUCUGGCCACGCCUGUUAAGAACACAUCCUCCCCAGCCCCCACCUGUGGGCCUUGGCCCCUGCCUACCCCAAGAGGGCUGCCUUUGGUCUCACACUCAUCCUCAUCCCCAUCAGUGGGGACACACACUCCAAAGCACAGUGAUCCAUGUGCAUGGGAGCACUCCCACCCUCCUCUUGCCCUGUGGACCUCCUUGUUCAAAACUGUCCUCUGCUCAGACUCAGGCCAGGACCCCAGCUUUUUGCUUCCUGGAUCCAAAAGGGGGGACCCCUGCACCUCUGCUGGGGGGCAUCCAUCAUAUUCAUUGAUGAUUUUUUUCUCAAGUAUUCCAUAAAAUCCCUUGCCGG